RNAcentral lists this small RNA (125 nucleotides) under Marmota monax (woodchuck). Lineage: Eukaryota; Metazoa; Chordata; Mammalia; Rodentia; Sciuridae. The record is from RNAcentral.
ACCAGGUGCAGUGGCGCACACCUGUAAUCCCAGCAGCUUGGCAGGCUGAGGCAGGAGGAUCACGAGUUCAAAGCCAGCCUCAGCAACGGCAAGGCACUAAGCAACUCAGUGAGAACCUGUCUCUA